AUGGAUGAAGAUUUCUAUGUUGAUUCCAUGGUGAAACAUUUAUCUGAGAGUGAUGUGUAUUUAAGAAUUGAUUUGUUGGCUGUUAAGAGGAUUAUGAACUCUAUUAACAGUGAGUUAUUUGAAUUGUUAGUUACAGGCUGUGCACUACUCUUAACUGGUUGUGUUAUUCCCACAAUGUACUGGGCUGUAGUACUAAUCUUGAUUGCAAACUUCUGGGCAUGUUGCCAGUCCCAGCCCAGUCUGUCUCAGCCUCCCUCAGAGUCAGUGUCUCUGGGACAAACAGUCAAACUCUCCUGCACAAUGAGCAGUGGUUACACAGUGACAAGCUAUAGCCAGUCCUGGUACCAACAGCGACCUGGUAAUGCACCUCGCUACCUUUUGUACUACUACAGCUCUGCAAACAUGGGCUCCGGGGUCCCUGAUCGGUUCACUGGAUCCAAGGACAAUUCUCAGAAUGUUUGGUAUUUAACAAUUUCUGGUGUCCAGACAGAUGAUGAGGCCGAUUAUUACUGUGCCAUCUGGUACAACAAUGCACACAGUGAUAUCAUUACAUGGGGAACUGAAACAUAA
Molecule: non-coding RNA, 570 nt
Organism: Protopterus annectens (West African lungfish)
Lineage: Eukaryota; Metazoa; Chordata; Ceratodontiformes; Protopteridae
Source: the annotation of a RefSeq genome assembly